RNAcentral lists this ribosomal RNA (353 nucleotides) under uncultured Desulfobacca sp. RNAcentral's name for it is "bacterial SSU rRNA". It matches the Rfam family "Bacterial small subunit ribosomal RNA", at positions 1033 to 1382 of the family's 1533-position model. The record is from RNAcentral. Lineage: Bacteria; Pseudomonadati; Thermodesulfobacteriota; Desulfobaccia; Desulfobaccales; Desulfobaccaceae.
GACAGGUGCUGCAUGGCUGUCGUCAGCUCGUGUCGUGAGAUGUUCGGGGUUAAAGUCCCCGCAACCGAGUCGCAACCCUUGUCUCUAGUUGCCACCAUUCAGUUGGGCACUCUAGAGAGACUGCCGGUGAUAAACCGGAGGAAGGUGGGGACGACGUCAAGUCCUCAUGGCCUUAUGCCCAGGGCUACACACGUGCUACAAUGGAUCGUACAAAGGGUCGCGAACCCGCGAGGGGGAGCCAAUCCCAAAAACCGGUCCUCAGUUCGGAUUGGAGUCUGCAACUCGACUCCAUGAAGUUGGAAUCGCUAGUAAUCGUGGAUCAGCAUGCCACGGUGAAUACGUUCCCGGGCCUU